GUAACAACUCACCUGCCGAAUGAACUAGCCCUGAAAAUGGAUGGCGCUCAAGCGUGUUACCCAUACCUCGCCGUUAGCGCUUUCGAUACGUUAACGAGUAGGCAGGCGUGGAGGUCCGUGAAGAAGCGUUCGGAGUGAUCCGGCGUAGAACGGCCUCUAGUGCAGAUCUUGGUGGUAGUAGAAAAUAUUCAAAUGAGAACUUU
RNAcentral lists this ribosomal RNA (203 nucleotides) under Chloropicon roscoffensis. RNAcentral describes it as "partial Eukaryotic large subunit ribosomal RNA". It matches the Rfam family "Eukaryotic large subunit ribosomal RNA", at positions 1282 to 1485 of the family's 3401-position model. Lineage: Eukaryota; Viridiplantae; Chlorophyta; Chloropicophyceae; Chloropicales; Chloropicaceae. The record is from RNAcentral.